AAUUUUGCGCAAUGGGCGAAAGCCUGACGCAGCAACGCCGCGUGAACGAUGAAGCCCUUCGGGGUGUAAAGUUCUGUCAGUGGGGACGAAACUUGACGGUACCCACAGAGGAAGCACCGGCUAACUCCGUGCCAGCAGCCGCGGUAAUACGGAGGGUGCAAGCGUUGUCCGGAAUCAUUGGGCGUAAAGCGUUCGUAGGCGGCAUACCAAGUCUGGUGUUAAAUCCCGGGGCUCAACUCCGGUCCGGCACUGGAUACUGGUAAGCUAGAAUGUGGUAGAGGUAAAGGGAAUUCCUGGUGUAGCGGUGAAAUGCGUAGAUAUCAGGAGGAACACCGGUGGCGUAAGCGCUUUACUGGGCCAUAAUUGACGCUGAGGAACGAAAGCCGGGGGAGCAAAUGGG
Molecule: ribosomal RNA, 400 nt
Filed under: uncultured bacterium
Lineage: Bacteria
Description: bacterial SSU rRNA
Rfam family: Bacterial small subunit ribosomal RNA
Source: RNAcentral